GGGAGGUGUGAUCCCGUGCUCCCUGGGAGGUGUGAUCCCGUGCUCCCU
RNAcentral lists this microRNA precursor (48 nucleotides) under Pongo abelii (Sumatran orangutan). RNAcentral describes it as "miRNA". The record is from RNAcentral. Lineage: Eukaryota; Metazoa; Chordata; Mammalia; Primates; Hominidae.